This 432-nucleotide ribosomal RNA is filed under the name uncultured bacterium. RNAcentral describes it as "partial 16S ribosomal RNA". It matches the Rfam family "Bacterial small subunit ribosomal RNA", at positions 29 to 506 of the family's 1533-position model. The record is from RNAcentral.
AACGAACGCUGGCGGCAUGCCUAACACAUGCAAGUCGAACGAGACCUUCGGGUCUAGUGGCGCACGGGUGCGUAACGCGUGGGAACCUGCCCUUAGGUUCGGAAUAACUCCCCGAAAGGGGUGCUAAUACCGGAUAAUGUCUUCGGACCAAAGAUUUAUCGCCUUUGGAUGGGCCCGCGUUGGAUUAGCUAGUUGGUAGGGUAAAAGCCUACCAAGGCGACGAUCCAUAGCUGGUCUGAGAGGAUGAUCAGCCACACUGGGACUGAGACACGGCCCAGACCCCUCCGGGAGGCAGCAGGGGGGAAUAUGGGACAAUGGGCGAAAGCCUGAUCCAGCAAUGCCGGGUGAGUGAUGAAGGCCUUAGGGUUGUAAAGCUCUUUUACCCGGGAUGAUAAGGACAGUACCGGGAGAAUAAGCCCCGGCUACCUCCGU